AUGCACCUUGAAUUAUGGAUAAACCAUGCAUAGCAAGGAAUUGGGGAGUGCAUGUUUUCAGGCUGGUUACAUUGGCAAAAAGGUGAUUGGCAAGCUCAUUCCAGAGGUCUUAGGGGCCCAAGAAGCACCGGCCAUGGGAUUCGAACAAGCACCAUAGUAGCCUAUUGCUCAUAUGGACCACACAUUAUAUGCACUGAUGUUUCAGCAAAGAGUUGAUGCUGCAGUAAUCAUAUUACCAUGCAGUUACCAAAGCCGGGGUGACCUUACCUUAUAUACUGGUUAAGAUCUAUGGAAGAACUCCUUCAGCUCAGUUUGGCAGCAGAUUUGUCAGGACAAGAUGAGAAGGAUCUCAUUUCUUGGUGGAAGGAUUCGAGAAGUACUACACGCCAGCAUACAUGACAUUUGAAACUUUGAUAAUUUGAUAGUGACUUAACAAAUUAAGAAAUAUUCUGAAAUCUAGAUGGCUAACAUAGGACAUUUCGGGCUUCGACUAACUUGUCUAGUGUUGAUGUUUAAAGUUAUGUAAUACAGAAUUCUGCUGAGUUUAAUAGAAGUCCAUAAUGAAGCUUUAAAUGUGACAGAUUUACUAUAGAUUAAAGAAGGGCGAACAUGGACAAGGCCGUGUCCAAAAAGAACUUGGAUUUUCUGUUUUGACAUUAAAAUUUGAAUUACUUCCCCAUAUAUAAAUUUUGUGUAUAGGCUGAAUUAAGAAGAAAGUAGUCGGGCAAGACACCAGUGAAAAUAUGGAAAAUAUGUUUCACUGCAGUGAAAAAUAUAUUUUUACAGUGAAAAUACGGAAAAUGUAACAGUUACUACCCAUUUUAUUUCAUCAAUAUUUCUCAAUAUUUCAUCUAUAAGUAUAUAAUAAAUACAUUUGUCUAAUCAAAGUUUCUUUUAUAUAUUAAUGUAAACGGACAUUGAUGUAAAUCUAUCUGAGUAAUUUUCUUAAUUCUUUCGUAUCAACAUUCGGAAUUCUUCAUCGUUUACUAUUACGGAAACUACCAAACCGUUCCGAUUGGACUUCCUUAUCAAAUUGACUUUUGCAAUGAAAGGGACACAACUCGCACAAAAAUAACCUAUACACACUUGCAGAGUUCUCGCCCCGACAAUACAUUUCAGAUAAUUGUGCACUAUGAUUGUUAUUUAAAUAAUAAUUACAGUGUACCGAAUACAUAUUUUAUCUUAACAUGAUUGGCAUUCGUCCUCUUAUGAAAUUUUCUGUAAACAUAUAUAUAUAUAUUUUUAGGUUAGGAAAUCACGUGUCUCAAUUUUGCACUAUUUGAUGUAAA
Long non-coding RNA from Ruditapes philippinarum (Manila clam), 1289 nucleotides. RefSeq lists it as uncharacterized. Lineage: Eukaryota; Metazoa; Mollusca; Bivalvia; Venerida; Veneridae. The transcript is spliced from 3 exons. The record is from RefSeq and is a predicted model, not a curated record.